CCCGGCUGGGAGAAGCGCAUGAGCCGCAGCUCAGAGUAAACACUCAGGAAGCGUUACCCACUGCUGCCAUUCCCAGAGAUGCAAAAGGCCGAGUGUACUACUUCAACCACAUCACUAACGCCAGCCAGUGGGAGCGGCCCAGCGGCAACAGCAGCAGUGGUGGCAAAAACGGGCAGGGGGAGCCUGCCAGGGUCCGCUGCUCACACCUGCUGGUGAAGCACAGCCAGUCAAGGCGGCCCUCGUCCUGGCGGCAGGAGAAGAUCACCCGGACCAAGGAGGAGGCCCUGGAGCUGAUCAACGGCUACAUCCAGAAGAUCAAGUCGGGAGAGGAGGACUUUGAGUCUCUGGCCUCACAAUUCAGCGACUGCAGCUCAGCCAAGGCCAGGGGAGACCUGGGUGCCUUCAGCAGAGGUCAGAUGCAGAAGCCAUUUGAAGACGCCUCGUUUGCGCUGCGGACGGGAGAGAUGAGCGGGCCCGUGUUCACGGAUUCCGGCAUCCACAUCAUCCUCCGCACUGAGUGAGGGUGGGGAGCCCAG
Molecule: small RNA, 536 nt
Filed under: Pan troglodytes (chimpanzee)
Lineage: Eukaryota; Metazoa; Chordata; Mammalia; Primates; Hominidae
Description: processed transcript
Source: RNAcentral